Long non-coding RNA from Gambusia affinis (western mosquitofish), 382 nucleotides. RefSeq lists it as uncharacterized. NCBI's taxonomy places the organism in Eukaryota, Metazoa, Chordata, Actinopteri, Cyprinodontiformes, Poeciliidae. The transcript is spliced from 3 exons. The record is from RefSeq and is a predicted model, not a curated record.
GCAAUUGAAGAACGCCAGCAACGGCUGGCGCUAUAUGAAGAACCGUCAAGUGGACUGGUGUUGAAGUUCAAAUAUCCGAAUGGAUUCAUCAGAAAGAGAAAUUUCAAUGUGUCGGACCCAAUUCAGGUCUUGUUUGACUUUGUCGGACAAGAUGAAAUGGCAAGUGAAAUAUUCAGUGUUCAACAAGCAACAUCAUCCACACCAACUGAGAGUACCUCAUCAGGCUCACUUAUGGAUCAUGGCAUAACAACAUCUGCAACUUUGUACGUGCUUUGGAUUUCAACUCUAGAUAUUCAGGAAAAGUGUCCAGUUCAGGCGGAUGGAGUGCUGGAGCAGUCACUGUCUUCUGUCCAAAGUCUACAGACAUCGCUUUCUGACCAAG